Molecule: ribosomal RNA, 253 nt
Filed under: uncultured bacterium
Lineage: Bacteria
Description: partial 16S ribosomal RNA
Rfam family: Bacterial small subunit ribosomal RNA
Source: RNAcentral
UACGUAGGGGGCAAGCGUUGUCCGGAAUCAUUGGGCGUAAAGAGCGUGUAGGCGGCUUGGUAAGUCCGCUGUGAAAGUCCAGGGCUCAACCCUGGAAAGCCGGUGGAAACUGUCGGGCUAGAGUUCGGAAGAGGUGAGUGGAAUUCCUGGUGUAGCGGUGAAAUGCGCAGAUAUCAGGAGGAACACCAAUGGCGAAGGCAGCUCACUGGGACGAUACUGACGCUGAGACGCGAAAGCGUGGGGAGCAAACAGG